UUAAGGCAUCAACAACCUAAAUACACCAGAUGCACACUGAACUGUGGAACUUAUGUCCAAGUUAAAUACAAGUCCAUGUCUGCUUGGUUGAAUUAAAUGAGACAAGGAUUCCAACAAAAUUACAAGAGUUGGAAAAGAAUAUAACACUGACAAGUGACAGCUAAUUGGAGUUGCACACAUUAUCCUGUGGAAAGUGCAGUUUGAUUUCUUGAUGGAGACCCAACCAUUUGUGAAGAGUUCAGAAGAUUUCCAAGAUGACUUUGCUGUUGUUCAUCAAAUAAUUUCUGCUGACAAAUUCCAUUCUGAACCUCAAGAAUGUGUUAGCCCUAUACUAGGAACACAUUGUCAAGUUAGCUAUCAACCCCAUCUCU
Long non-coding RNA from Saccostrea echinata, 371 nucleotides. RefSeq lists it as uncharacterized. The record is from RefSeq and is a predicted model, not a curated record. Lineage: Eukaryota; Metazoa; Mollusca; Bivalvia; Ostreida; Ostreidae. The transcript is spliced from 3 exons.